Molecule: small nucleolar RNA, 85 nt
Organism: Jaculus jaculus (lesser Egyptian jerboa)
Lineage: Eukaryota; Metazoa; Chordata; Mammalia; Rodentia; Dipodidae
Product: small nucleolar RNA SNORD35
Exons: 1
Source: RefSeq, a predicted model, not a curated record
GGCAAAUGAUGUCUGUUUUCAGUGUUCUUUAGAUGUCUGCCACAGGCACUCUAACAUAGCAGACUGGUAAAGCUGAUGCCAGGAG